GGCUUGGUAGCUCAGUUGGUAGAGCAGAGGAUUGAAAAUCCUUGUGUCGGGGGUUCAAAUCCCUCUCAAGCCA
This 73-nucleotide transfer RNA is filed under the name bacterium. RNAcentral describes it as "tRNA-Phe". It matches the Rfam family "tRNA". From Rfam's summary of the family: Transfer RNA (tRNA) molecules are approximately 80 nucleotides in length. Their secondary structure includes four short double-helical elements and three loops (D, anti-codon, and T loops). Further hydrogen bonds mediate the characteristic L-shaped molecular structure. tRNAs have two regions of fundamental functional importance: the anti-codon, which is responsible for specific mRNA codon recognition, and the 3' end, to which the tRNAs corresponding amino acid is attached (by aminoacyl-tRNA synthetases). tRNAs cope with the degeneracy of the genetic code in two manners: having more than one tRNA (with a specific anti-codon) for a particular amino acid; and 'wobble' base-pairing, i.e. permitting non-standard base-pairing at the 3rd anti-codon position. RNAcentral also lists the same sequence under 1 other name. The record is from RNAcentral.